RNAcentral lists this ribosomal RNA (991 nucleotides) under uncultured Stenotrophomonas sp. RNAcentral's name for it is "bacterial SSU rRNA". It matches the Rfam family "Bacterial small subunit ribosomal RNA", at positions 49 to 1029 of the family's 1533-position model. The record is from RNAcentral. Lineage: Bacteria; Pseudomonadati; Pseudomonadota; Gammaproteobacteria; Lysobacterales; Lysobacteraceae.
CUAAACAUGCAGUCGAACGGCAGCACAGAGAGAGCUUGCUCCUUGGGUGGCGAGUGGCGGACGGGUGAGGAAUACAUCGGAAUCUACUUUUUCGUGGGGGAUAACGUAGGGAAACUUACGCUAAUACCGCAUACGACCUACGGGUGAAAGCAGGGGACCUUCGGGCCUUGCGCGAUUGAAUGAGCCGAUGUCGGAUUAGCUAGUUGGCGGGGUAAAGGCCCACCAAGGCGACGAUCCGUAGCUGGUCUGAGAGGAUGAUCAGCCACACUGGAACUGAGACACGGUCCAGACUCCUACGGGAGGCAGCAGUGGGGAAUAUUGGACAAUGGGCGCAAGCCUGAUCCAGCCAUACCGCGUGGGUGAAGAAGGCCUUCGGGUUGUAAAGCCCUUUUGUUGGGAAAGAAAUCCAGCUGGCUAAUACCCGGUUGGGAUGACGGUACCCAAAGAAUAAGCACCGGCUAACUUCGUGCCAGCAGCCGCGGUAAUACGAAGGGUGCAAGCGUUACUCGGAAUUACUGGGCGUAAAGCGUGCGUAGGUGGUCGUUUAAGUCCGUUGUGAAAGCCCUGGGCUCAACCUGGGAACUGCAGUGGAUACUGGGCGACUAGAGUGUGGUAGAGGGUAGCGGAAUUCCUGGUGUAGCAGUGAAAUGCGUAGAGAUCAGGAGGAACAUCCAUGGCGAAGGCAGCUACCUGGACCAACACUGACACUGAGGCACGAAAGCGUGGGGAGCAGACAGGAUUAGAUACCCUGGUAGUCCACGCCCUAAACGAUGCGAACUGGAUGUUGGGUGCAAUUUGGCACGCAGUAUCAAGCUAACGCGUUAAGUUCGCCGCCUGGGGAGUACGGUCGCAAAACUGAAACUCAAAGGAAUUGACGGGGGCCCGCACAAGCGGUGGAGUAUGUGGUUUAAUUCAAUGCAACGCGAAGAACCUUACCUGGCCUUGACAUGUCGAGAACUUUCCGAAGAUGGAUUGGUGCCUUCGGGAACUC